Molecule: unclassified non-coding RNA, 349 nt
Filed under: soil metagenome
Description: partial contains 5.8S ribosomal RNA, internal transcribed spacer 2, and large subunit ribosomal RNA
Rfam family: 5.8S ribosomal RNA (bases 1-120)
Source: RNAcentral
GAUGAAGAACGCAGCGAAAUGCGAUAAGUAAUGUGAAUUGCAGAAUUCAGUGAAUCAUCGAGUCUUUGAACGCACAUUGCGCCCCCUGGUAUUCCGGGGGGCAUGCCUGUCCGAGCGUCAUUGCCGCCCUCAAGCACGGCUUGUGUGUUGGGCCCCCGCCCCCCGGCUUCGGGGGGCGGGCCCGAAAGGCAGCGGCGGCACCGCGUCCGGUCCUCGAGCGUAUGGGGCUUCGUCACCCGCUCUGUAGGCCCGGCCGGCGCCCGCCGGCGACCCCAAUCAAUCUUUCCAGGUUGACCUCGGAUCAGGUAGGGAUACCCGCUGAACUUAAGCAUAUCAAUAAGGCGGGGGA